AGUGAACGCUGGCGGCGUGCUUAACACAUGCAAGUCGAACGAGAACGGAUUAUAGCUUGCUAUAAUUGUCAGCUAAGUGGCGCACGGGUGAGUAAUGUAUAGGUAAUAUGCCUCUUACUAAGGGAUAACAAAUGGAAACGUUUGCUAAUACCUUAUACUCCUUAUUAACAGAAGUUAAUAAGGGAAAGAUUUAUUGGUAAGAGAUUAGCCUGUAUUGUAUCAGUUAGUUGGUGGGGUAAUGGCUUACCAAGACUAUGACACAUAACUGGUUUGAGAGGAUGAUCAGUCACACUGGAACUGAUACACGGUCCAGACUCCUACGGGAGGCAGCAGUGGGGAAUAUUGCACAAUGGACGAAAGUCUGAUGCAGCAACGACGCGUGGAGGAUGACACAUUUCGGUGCGUAAACUCCUUUUAUAUGAGAAGAUAAUGACGGUAUUAUACGAAUAAGCACCGGCUAACUCCGUGCCAGCAGCCGCCGUAA
This 484-nucleotide ribosomal RNA is filed under the name uncultured bacterium. Its description in RNAcentral is "partial 16S ribosomal RNA". It matches the Rfam family "Bacterial small subunit ribosomal RNA", at positions 29 to 523 of the family's 1533-position model. The record is from RNAcentral.